This 11832-nucleotide long non-coding RNA is filed under the name Coffea arabica (coffee). RNAcentral's name for it is "long non-coding RNA (CARA_LNC001626)". The record is from RNAcentral. Lineage: Eukaryota; Viridiplantae; Streptophyta; Magnoliopsida; Gentianales; Rubiaceae.
GCUGCUUCUCUGAACAGAGUUAGGGUUUUGCGCAGCCUCACUCAGGUUGUUGCCCGGCUGGUGGAGGUGGCGUCUAUUAAAGUUAGGGCUCCUUGAGCCGCCUUCCACGAAUUGAGCAAAUCAGGGUCUUAAAAGGAUUAUCUGAAUUUUAGAAUACCAAAUAACUCCCAAAGCAGAGGAGGAAAAAAAGUGCAAGACACUUAAAUCAAUAGAUUUUAUGUAGUCUGCGAUCCUAUUUGAUACAAUAGGAAAUACACAUUGUUUUUCCAAUCCGCACAACCAUUAUUUAAUGUUCAACCAAUGUAAGGCUCCUAAUAGUACAUAGAAAUUAACUCCUAGUACCAUAUUGGAUUACCAAUCAGUAAUAUAUGAUAAAGAUGUUCACCGGGAUGACCAUUUAGAAUGGAGGUCGGUGAUCAUCUCCACUGGCACACACAACAGGUUUCUAAAUAUCAGAACAAAUGUAUCCAGCUAGUCCAAUCUUUGAAUUUACAAAACUACAGCAUACAACUUUGAUACUCCACAAAAGAAGAGAAGUCUCAACACUAUUAUUAAGCACACUUGACAUCUCUUUAGCUCAGGAAAUUUUUUGAUGCAGGAUCCAGCACACAUGCAAGCAAAAUUUUAUAUUCUGCCUGGUUUGGGACAAAUCUGAUUAGACCAAAAAAUUUUUGAAUUAUUUAAAUUUCACAUUAAUAGUUGUCCAGUUGGGAAGACGGAGGAGCCAAGGAGUAAUCAUUUGAAAUUCUUUGUUUUUGCAACCUUAAAUUUAAAUUAGGUUUUAAAUAGGAAACUUUAUGUUAUCAUCUUAACAACUAACAUACAAACCUUAAGAGAGGCCACAAAAGAUUCAUAAUGAUUUAAAAAUUGUGAACUACCUUAGAGGCCAGAUAAUUUCCUUGCAUAUGAAAUUUCACCUUUAAGUCGAUCUCUUUAUUCCUGUUGAGACUUUUGGGAUAAUCAAAGCACUUCAACCAAAUGUAUAGCCUACAAAUCUGAUGCACGAGACAUGAACGCAAAUAUUAAGAGCUACAAUAAGUUUGAAAAAUACUGCUGUCUUAUGAAGUGUCGAGUAGUUUAAUUGAACAUGCAAAAAGUAAGGAAAGUUUCUUUAUUAAAAAAAGGGCAUGUCAUUAAACAUCCUAUGCAUUUUUUAUAUCUUUUGAGAGGUUAAUAGCAAAAUGAAUCUUCCAUAGUAAGGAAAGCUGAAAACAAAAGUGAAGCCAUACAAAAAUACUAAGGUGCCAUUUUGUUAGUGUAGAGAGAAAAUUGUUGAAAAAACUUAAUUAGUGUCACAAAUCCCACUCAAACCUCCCAAAUAUAGAUAAAAAUCAUAGAACAACAAAGAAGCAUGCCAAGAACCAUAGAGUACCAGGAGCUAGUAAUUGCUCUUAAAAAAUAAUUGAUCCUCUAAAAUAUUUCAAACAGUAAUAUCAUCAACAUAACAUUCUUACUUAUCCCCUUUGGCAGUUGCUCAUUGUCAAGAUCAAAUGUAAAGGUCUUUCUUUUGAAGAAUAUCUAUCAGUUAAAGUUGAGGCCAUGCAUUUCCUUAGAUAUGAAUGGAGGCAUAAACUUUUGAUAGCCACCAACAAACAUCAACAUUUUUGUCUUUUGUUCAAGCAACCUCACAAUUCAAUGCAUGUUUGAUGCUAGAAAAGUUCUACAUCAUUAUGAAAUAAAGCCAAUGAAAGCAGGAAAAAAUUAAAAAUGCCCAAAGACAUACCAAGAUAUUCAAAGCAAAGGAACCAUUUUGCAGCUAGACAGAUGGAAGAUGAGCCUGAAAACUGAGUACUUGAUUAGCUGCUAUUCAGAACCUCUACAAAUACAGAAGCAAUAGUGCAAGUAGUUAAUAUCACUCCACACUUAUAACUACAACUGCUACUAUUAUUUCAGCUAGAGAACUAAAGAAGGAAUUUUGUUUGUCCCUCCAAGAAUAAGAUCAAUCAAGUGGAUUUGCGUAUAUCCCACAACUGUGAAGACAUAGGUCAGAGGCGGCAUAUCCAUCCUAUCAUACGAGUCAAUAGCUCCAAGAAGCACAUCAGAAUCUCACAAUCAUUGGCGCUCUUUAACAAUGAUGCAUAGGGCACGAAAACUAUAUAUAUAUGUGGAAUAACUAAAACUUUAAGCUUGGCAGUGAGGCGUUUUCAUAGUAAAAUGCAUUGCUAGUUCGCCCAUGAAUAGAUUAACUAAUUAGUAGUGCUAAUUAAAAAGCACCUUGUCAAUGUAAAACCCCUGGUAGAGCGCGUGGUUUUUACACUGUUUUUUUCGAAAAAUCCCAAUAAAUCUUCAUCUUUCUCCAUGUUUCUAUAAUUAUUUGCACAAAACUUAUUGUAUCUUUGGCGCAAAUUAAAGCAUCACAGGAACAAAAAAAUUUUGUCCAAAAAUGACAUAUUAGCAAAGUCUGAUAUCAGAGCAAACUUUUUUGUUGUUCAAAAUCCAAGGAACACAAAUUUAUCCAUUGAUUAGCAAAUUAAAGACUAAAAGAAACUCAAAACCUGGCAGCAACUUCUGAGGAUUUGCAGUGAAGUUCAUUACUUGGACCGUGUACACUGAGCAAAAAGGAACACCAAAAUAAUUCUGACAAUUGUAGCGGGAAGCAAAGAGACCAAAAGCAGGGAAAAUAGAGACAAUGGAAGACAUGAGACUAACCAGAAUCAUCUUCUUGGACUCGGAAACAGUCUGCAAUCACAAAAAAAUAGGUCAAGUUCAGAUAAGGAGAAAACAACAUGAACAAAAAAUUUAAUGAAAGAAAAAUCUCAAAAUGUUUAGAUUCAAAACCUAAAGUGAUUUCAGAUUUGUCUCUCCUACUUCCUCAUCACAUAGAUAGAUAGAAGAAGAGGAGGAUUUUGACCCAAAAAAAUAAAGACAAGAGAGAAGAAGAGGAGAGAACCUUCGAGCAAUUCUUUUUUCUCCGUUACCGUUUGUUCUCGGCUAGAUAGGGAGAUAAAAAUGAUGAAGCAGCCGUCCGGUUCGAAUGUCCCUUUGAUGGUCAGUUCAGUUGGCUAGGUGUUGGGUCCAGGAGUGGGGUGGGUGUUGGGUCCAAGAGGUCAGUUUUGGACUCCUUCAUGGACCAUUUAAACUCGUUCAAUUAUGGUGGUUUCAUUCCCAGUUCCCACCUCAAAAAAUGGGUUCAAUCUGAAUUUGAAUAGAUGGAAUUGAUUGCAUGUUACAGCCUCAAAAAAUUUGCUCUCCUCUUUCGUUGGAUGAUGCUAUGGUAGUUUUAUUCCCAGUUCCCACCUGUGACUAUGAUUAUCGAUUCGGUUUCUUCUUCUUAGUUAAUGCAUCUGUACCCUGAUUCAAGAAUCAGAAUUGGUCUUCCUCAUUCGAAAUCAGGUAGAGAUCAUAUCAAGCAUUUUAGAAUGCAGUAGAUUGCUCGAAAAAAGGGGUAGAAAGAAACCUGUUAAAAAAGGUACAGCAGAUUGAGAAUCAUAGGGCUUGAUCACAAUAUUGAACAUGCUAAACUUCCAAAAUCACAAACUCGAAAAUAAUUCUAUUUCAAUUGAUAUCCAUAAAAAUACACUCAACAGACAAUAAAACCAAUUCUCUCCAUCAAGCUACAAUACAUAUAUAUAGGCCAAUAGGAAAAUGACAAAAAUCUUAGGGAAAAAAAAGAAAAGGAAUCAAAAUUCCCUCUCCGGGAGAUUUUCAAGCGACGGCAACCGGCUGUCGCUUGGGAGGUUCGAUAUUCUUAUUCUUGCGAUUGGAAUCGGCGAAAUCUUCCGUAUUAUAGAUGACGGUGAUGUAAAGAGAACAGCUAGGGCACCGAGCGAUCUCUUCGCCCAGACGGAGUUCUUCCCUGGUGAUCUGGAAGAGGUCUCCGCAGGGGCAGGGAUACGUGAAGGCCUGGAGCUCCUCGUUCCAUUCCAUGUCCUCAAUCUCUACGUCGUCGUACGACAUCUGAUCUCUCGCUGUUUUCAAGUCCUGGACUAUAGCUGCUUCUUUGAACAGAGUUAGGGUUUUGGGCAGCCUCGGUCAGGGGGUUGCCCGGCUGGCGGAGGUGGCGUCUAUUAAAGUUAGGGCUCCUUGAGCCGCCUUCCACGAGUGCAAGACGACAGCGUACGUUGCCAAACCAUUUCAUUAUUAUUAUAUUAUAAUCGUUAUAAACACUGGGAAUGUUAACGUGGUUGGUUUCAAAAGUUGAGCACCCAAAAAAAUUUUUUAUUUUGCUGGAUUUAAAAAAAGAAGAAAAGAAAAUUUUAGCCAAAAAUAAAAACUUAGGGACUAAUUGGCUAAAUUUAUUUUACUGAAAAAAGUUGAUGGACUCCGUUUGAUAAAACUGAAUCUGAAUUCUGAAUUCUGAAUUCUGAAUACUGAAACAAUUAAUUUGCUGAAUAUUAAGCACUGAAAAAAGAUAUAUGAAUAUCUGAAUCUUAAUGCUGAACAUAUUUAUACUGUUUGAUAAACAUUUAUAACUUAAUGCUUAAUAAGCUAAAUUGUACAAUUUUGCCCUUCUAUCUUUUAAUCCAAAAAGGAAAUGGAACCUAUGAUUUAAUUAGCUUAAAAUUGUUAGAUAUGAAAAUGACAAUAUUUAUUUUUAAAUCAAAGUAAUAUAAAAGAAUAAAUAUAUUAUGAAAAAGUCCAAAUAUCGGUGCAAAUAUUUUUUUAAAUCAGAGUUUGAUAAGAAAAGUCCAAAUAUAAGUAAAAGGAAGCUGCAAUAAACAAGUUUUAAAUUCAUACCAAAUUAUUUAGAAAUUUAAUUACUUCAAUGGAAAAAUGUUGAAGCAAAACAACAAAUAAUCAAUGUCACUUACCUUGGAAAUAAUGAAUUUGAGAUCAGUGAGUACGGUAGCAAUAAAAAAAAUUGGAGGAAAAAAAUGACAAAAUUAUGAAAGAGUAGAAAGAUGGAAAAAAAAAUAAGGAGUAGACAGAUGUGAGGAGCAUGGAGAAAUUGUAAAAAAGUCAUUAAAUAGGGAAAAAAUAGAAGUAGAAAGCCAUUAGACAGAGAAUGGCAUGUUGUUUAAUUAGAUAAGGAUUUUGGAUAGAAAAUAUUAGGUUGUUUAAUUAGAUAAGGAUUUUGAAUGUAAUUAACAAACAAUGAUAGAUUUGGUAGAUAAAAUAAAGUAAUUGAAGUAAAAUCUCUUGAUUCUUAUCAAAUUAAGCAUUCAGUUACGAUUCUUGUGCUGAAAAAAAUACAUACAAAUUCAGCACCACUUAAUAAGUUCAGCAGAAAAAUUUUUAUUUAUCAAACACCCAAAACAUCUGAAUGUCUGAAUGAAUUCAGUUUCAGCACUUUUUUAUGUUAUCAAACAGACACUAAAUAUGGGAUUUUGCCCUAAUGCAAUGUAUAGAAGUUAAAAAUGAAAAUAAAUAAAUAAGGACUAUAUUUUUAUGUACUUUUUUUUUAUAUUUUUGCAGUUAUGGAUAUUAUAUAUUAGUAGAAUGUAUCUCAUUAUAAGAAAAAACAAUAAUAAUAAUUAAUAAGAAACGACUUUUUGUACUAAUUCCUCCCAGACGAAGAUAAGCCAACUUCCAGCCUUCCACCCAAUUUAGCAUGAACAGACUUCAAAUGGUCAGUAGCCGAAAACAAUGCCUACAGAAACUGCCGACUUUUAGUUUUAAAAUCACCCAGCAAAUUGGCCUCAACUCCAUCCCACUUUCACAUGCUUCAAUUCUCAAAGAACUCAAAGAAUCAAAGCCCCUCCAACAAGUCCAUGCCUGCAUAAUUACCUCUGGCCUUUCUAGCAACAUUUUUCUUUGCAACAGAUUAAUGAACUCGUAUGCUUCUUGCGGACUUAUAGAUUGUGCACAGGACAUAUUUUCUGGAACUAAAAAUAGGAAUUUGGUUUCUUGGACAAUUUUAAUAUCUGGGUUCACAAGAAAUGAUCUUCUCAUUGACGCAAUUAAGGCCUUCCAUGAGAUGAUUUUGAAUUAUGUGAGGCCUAAUGCAACUACAAUUUCGAGUAUUUUGCCCGCAUUUGCAAAACUGGGGCUGACACGGAUGGGCAAAUCAGUCCAUGGUUAUUGGAUUCGGCAGAGCUGUGGAAGGAAUGUGUUUGUCGAAACAGCUUUGGUUGAUAUGUAUAUGAAAAUCCGGUGCAUGAAUUUUGCUAGACAUAUAUUUGACAAUAUGCCUGAAAGAAAUCUUGUUUCAUGGAAUUCUGUGAUUUUGGGUUACUCCGAUAAUGGGUCUGGUGAAGAGGCAUUUAACCUUUUUAACUGUAUGAGAAGGAAAGGAUAUUCCAUUGAUGUGUUUACCAUAAUGAGCUUGAUUUCAGCUUCUUUAGGUGUAGGGGAUUUGAGUUUAGCAAGGGUGGUCCAUGCCUUGACAAUUAGAAUCCGGUAUGUCUGUGAUCGACUUGUCAUGAGUGCCUUAAUGGAUUUAUAUAUAAAGACUGAUGGUGUUGAUGAUGCUUAUUGUAUUUUUAAUGAGAUUUCAAAGAAGGAUAUAGUUGUUUGGACUGUAAUGUUAUCAGGGUUUUUGAGGAAAGGAAAAUGGAACAGGAGUAUAGAACAUUUCAACGAGAUGAUCGCAGCAGAAAAAUCAGCUUUAGAUGCUGUUUCUUUGGUAAGCAUCUUAGCAGGCUGCAGCAGCUCUGGAGCUCUUCAACAGGGUAGGCGGAUACAUGCAAUGGUGAUAAAAAUUGGUUAUCAAAGCGAUAUCUUUGUCGGAUCAGCUGUCAUAAACAUGUAUGCUAAUUGUGCAGAAAUUGGUGAUGCAGAAUGGUAUUUUGGUUCUAUGAAAGAGAAGGAUGCGGCAUGCUGGAAUGCACUAAUUUCUGGUUAUAGCAUGAAUGGGUACGGUAAUGACGCUAUUGAUCUCUUUUUGAAGAUGAAGGGUUCUGGCAUAAACCCUGAUGAGUGGACGUUAUUAUCAGUCUUGUGUGCAUGCAGUCACGCAGGGAUGGUUGAUCAAGGACUCCAUAUUUUUCACCAUAUGGCCGAGUUUUGGAACAUAGUUCCCAAUUCAAAGCACUAUGCUUGUGUUAUUGAUCUUCUUGGCCGUGCGGGACUGUUAGAUGAUGCUUACCGAAUGAUUUGCAAUAUGCAUCUGCCCCCGACUGUUGAUGUUUAUGGUGCCAUGCUUAGUGCUUGUAGAGUUCAUAGAAACAUGGAUAUGGGAGUUGAGAUAGCGCAGAAGCUCUCUGCGCUGAAGCCUAGUGAUGUGGGGCACCAUAUAUUGCUCUCCAACAUGUACGCGUUGGCUGGAAAUUUGGAGGCUGUAAAGCUGACAAGGACAUCAUUACGAUUGACAAGACUAAAGAAGUAUCCAGGUUUUAGUUCAAUUGAGAUCGAUGGACAAAUAUACACAUUUAUGGCAAGUCAGAAAGAUCAUCCUCAAUACCAGCAUAUCAGUGGGUUCCUGAAGGGCAUAAUCUUGAAAAUUAAAUCAGAAGGUUAUGUUCCAGACAAAGAAUGUGUACUUCAGGAGGUUUCGGAUGAUAUGAGGGAGGAUAUUCUGUAUCACCACAGUGAGAAGUUGGCCAUUGUUCUUGGACUGUUGAAAACCAAACAAGGAACGGUCAUACGGAUAACAAAAAAUCUUCGCACUUGCAAUGAUUGUCACUCCGCAAGCAAGAUUAUCUCCAAAGUUUUUGGAAGAGCUCUAAUCAUAAAAGAUGCCAAUCGGUUCCAUGUUUUUGAAGAAGGAAUCUGUUCAUGCAAAGACUAUUGGUGAGCCACCUGGCGGAGAAAUAACAUUGGGUUUGUUUGGAUAGGGUAUUAUUUGAAAUAUUAUUUGGAAUAAUUACUGUAGCACUUUUUGUGAUGUGAUGUAUGUGAGAUAAAAAAGUAAUUGGAAAGAUAAAAAGUUGUAUUGAAAAUUGUAAUGGUGAUGUAAAUCACGCGUUUUUGACUGUCAAAUUCCUUUGAUUCAAACAUCAAUCUAUCAAAGAAGUCCUCUCGUGUGGAAUCUCUUGUAUUAUAAGGACUCUGAAGUUUAAGAACAAAAUAUUAGUGGUCAGCGGAGGAAAGGUUACGGUAAGGAGAAAUUACUGAAAUUGAUUGAGAAUGAGUUCCAUUAGUCAAAAAUAAAUAAUUAAUAUAUAAAAACCUAGAAACAGCUAACUGACUAAAAGAAGGUUAUUCUCGGCUUUUCCGGAGAGAGUUUGGAACAUGAACGAGAAGCAAAAGAAUUUUUGGCUAUAUUUGAAUUGAGGGAUUCAACAAACGAUUUAAAAAGAAUCACUAAAAAUUUUCUAAUUAUUUGGAUUGUUUGGGAGGUAUUUGAAUUUAUAAUUAACUGAUGAUUUAAAAGCGUUCGAAACAUGAAAAUAAUUGAUGAAUUACACAUGCAAAUGCCUCUUAAAUAAUCUAAACAGUUAAAUUGAUUUGAGAGGAUUUCAAAUUCCUCAAUCCAAGAGAAGCCUUUGCGCGCGCGCGUGUCUGUGUGUGUGUGUGUGUGUUUUUUUUUGGGGGUAAGCGAAGCCUUUGUGCUUGUUUCUUCAAUGUUCAUCGCAUUUCUCUUAUUUUUCUCCCUGAGAGUAAUGUUCAAGAAUUGGCCGAGAUUUCUCCAAGAGUCGGUGAAGUAGUAAAGGACUUUUUAUGGCUGCUAACGCAGAGAACCGUUAGUGAGAAAUUUCGCAUCGACUACAUUGCCACCAACUUCAUUUCUGAACCAGUUAAUACGCUAAAUUUACUAGAUAAAACUAUUAGGAUCUGACAGAAGCUAGUUAACUUGAAACCCAACAUAGGCUUUCCUUUAGCAUUCUGCACGAAAUUGACAAUCUUUCAAGCAUGAGUUUGGUUUGAUGGACAUAGGUUACUGCCAGCCAAUGAAAUCAACAAGUGAGACUCCAAAUGAAACUGGACUACAUCAAUUAGAUACUAACAAUACAGAGAACAAAAUUGUGAUGGAAGAACAGGUGUAUUGGCAGAGUAAAUAAAAACUUUGAGGGAAAGUAAAACAAGAAAGCUCAGAGUGCUAAUAUCAUGUUUUCAGCAAAUCUGAUUACAAGCAAAAUGCCUAAAGAAUGAGCUCAUUGGCUCUGCACAUUGUUCUAACUUCCUUCUAGCUAGACUAAUAAGAAAGCUACAAAUAUUCCAAUGAAUUGCUGCUAUAUAUCCACUAGCACAUGAGCUCAGCUGAGAGGGCAUGGUUGAUCAACUGAAGUUCUCUGAUCUGCAGUAGCUUGAACGUGCAACUCCACCACUUCAGCUACUUCCAACAACACUAAACCAACUCCUUAUUCCAGCUAGCCAUACUUCUACUUAAGACAAAAAUGUUAAGCGAUAAAAUCGAGCAUCAUGACAGUUACUUGAAAGAUAUAUCCAAGUGCAUGAAUCUUGCACAUACCAAAGUUGCUUGUUUCUAAUCAUCAGAAAUAUGGACCUGGAGCACCUUUUCACCAAUAAGUUCAAAUAUGCAGACAUUGCCAAUCUUCAGCUUAUUAUCGCGCACAAAUCUGGUCCAUCCUCCCACAAAAACAAAGUUUCCGCCGUUAAUUGUAUAAUUCACUUCCCAUUCUUUACCUUCUAUAUUUUUCAGCGUGAUUUUUGUCUUGGCCUUUUGGAAGUGUUUCUCUGCAAAUGACUUGGGUAUGAUCUGCACAAAAGAUGCAUCCAAGUAAACAUUAAUCCGUUCAACUUUGGAAGGACAAAACAAUUAGUACAUUGGAGACAUAAUUGCUGCAACCACUGGAUGAUCUCAAGAAUCGCCUGAAUUUUGUCCAGAUAUGCCAUUCAACCAUUCAAAUUCUCUAUUACCUCAAACCAUAAAAACAAUCUUACCAUUAAAAAAGGAGGAUUAACGUUGUAACGUUUGAUGUUUGUCUCAAAAAAAGGAUGCUGAGAGCAGAAUUCCUGCAAUGUAGCACCUUCUUCUCUACUCUGACUCUUCUCUCUUGGUUGAACAUGGGUAGUGUGCUGAUCCAAGUUUUUGGUACCUGAGUUUGCAACUUCUUGAUUUGUUCUCUCCACUCCACUUUUAUCAAAAAUUUGAACAGUGAAGCACCUAUCUCCAUGGUCAUAAUGGAAGAGGAGAAAAUCAUGUUCCUGCAGCAAGUUAUCUUCCACAAAUUUCUGCCAAUCAUCUCCCAGAAAGACAUCACCAUCGUCAGUCUUGACUACUUUAACAGACCAACAGCUUCCAUAUGAAGUCUCGAGGAUUAUUCUUUUAGGUAUCCCUAUUAGAACAUCCCUUACAAAUUGCGGAGGAAUUUUCUGCAACAGAUCGUGAUAUGGAACAAGAAAACUUGGUUGGAAUUUUUUUUAUCAUUAAUCAAUUAGCCAAUGACUAACAAGAACUGCAAAGAAUAAGACAUGAUUUGUCAUAUGAAUGCAUCUAUGAAAAAAAUUACCAGUCUAUUCUCUACAAGUUGAUUAAAAAUCUUGAAGAAGGCAGGCCUCUGGUCCAAUAUGAUCUCAUCCUUAUCUUUCCCCAGGCUCUUGUUCACCAUUUUCUCAAGUAUAAGUUUCACGACUUUUUCGUUCAAUAAUCUUGUCUAUUCAGUAAAAUCUCCAGCCCUGGAAUCAACAGCUAAGAACCAUUACUACGUUGCCAACGUGGUUGGUGAAAAAGCAAUUAGAUGCAGACUAGAAGAUGAACACCGAGCUUUUGCAUGGAAAGAAAUUAAACUAAUGUCCAAAAUUAAUUGCUAUAGAUGUAUUUUAUGAUUCAAUUUUUUUUAUAUAACCAAUGAAAUCAAGCAAUUAUAACUGAAUACACAAAAUAGAUAGGGCAUCGACAUUUAUUAUUUUAGUUUAAAAAAUGUCAUCAAUACUUGCAUUAAAAAUUUUGCAGUUAAGUCACAAGCACCUUGAUGCAUGUCAUUACCAAGUUUGAAUUUAUCAAAAAGCGCAUAAUAUUUCUUGUCUACAAUAAGUGCAAUUACCAUGCUGUAAAGUUCUGGUUAAAGCAAGUCCUGUGUAUUUCUUUCUCAGUCCAAGUACUGUUUUUGUUUUAGCCGAGUAUGUUUUCAUGCAUUUGUAAUGCAUGUUCAACAGAACCUUUACCUUGUACAAAAAUUAAAAGAAAUUAACAUACAAACAACAAUGAAUACAAAAUUCAUGGCAAAAUCUUCUAUUUCCUUAUUCAUCAUGAAAGACAAUAUGAAAUUUUGAGGCAUACGAAAAUAGCAGCAUAUAUAACCAAUAUACCUCGAGAUGCAAACCUAUGAUAUAUUAGUAAGAUAAGUUUUAAUAGUUUGUUGCGUGCUUCUCUGAAGUAAUACAAGAACUAAAGAAGUUGAUCAAAAACUAUUUUUAACCACAAAUACCAAGUAAAAAGAAAUUUUAGAAUACCAAAUAACUCCCAAAGCAGAGGAGGAAAAAAGUGCAGGACACUUAAAUCAACAGAUUUUAUGUAGUCUGCGAUCCUUUUUUUCUUUUUUUGACAAAACGAUAGGAUAGUCUGCGAUCCUAGUUGAUACAAUAGGAACUACACAUCGUUAUUCCAAUCCGCACAACCAUUAUUCUAUGUUCAACUAAUGUAAGGCUCCUAAUAGUACAUAGAAAUUAACUCCUAGUACUAUAUUGGAUUACCAAUCAGUAAUAGAUGAUAAAGAAAACCACCGAGAUGACCAUUUAAUGUAAUCAUAAAACAAGUAGGUCGGUGAUCAUCUCUACUGGUACACACAACAGGUUUCUAAAUAUCAGAACAAAUGCAUCCAGCUAGUCCAAUCUUUGAAUUUACAAAACUACAGCAUACAACUUUGAUAUUCCACAAAAGAAGAGAAGUCUCAACACUAUUAUUAAGCACACUGGACAUCUCUUUAGCUCAGGAAAUUUUUUGAUGCAGGAUCCAGCACACGCACAAGCAAAAUUUUAUAUUCUACCUGGUUUGGGACAAAUCUGAUUAGACCAAAAAAUUUUUGAAUUAUUUAAAUUUUACGUUAAUAGUUGUCCAGUUGGGAAGAGGGAGGAGCCAAGGAGUAAUCAUUUGAAAUUCUUUGUUUU